Molecule: long non-coding RNA, 706 nt
Organism: Felis catus (domestic cat)
Lineage: Eukaryota; Metazoa; Chordata; Mammalia; Carnivora; Felidae
Exons: 3
Source: RefSeq, a predicted model, not a curated record
CCUAGCAACCACCAUUCUCUUCUCUAUUUCUAUGAAUUUGACUACUCUGGAUACCUCAUGGGUUAUUGUCCUUCUUUAGGAAUGCCUAUUUGGCAUGGAUAUUCUUAGCACCUGGUAGAGCCUCCCAUGAAUCCUGGAUCUGAAGAGUAAAGAGCCUUGGGGGGAGGAGAAGCUAAGUGAAUCCCCUGUAGCUAAUUAAAAGAAGAGAAAAACACAGGUUUGGUUCAAAGAUGGAUUCAAAUAAUCUGUGCUGUCCUGGCUGAAAAUGGAAGCGCUACCAUAUUUUAAACCCACCUAGGAGUGCCCCUGAAAUAUGAGUUAAAGAAAAUUUGUUCUAUGGAGAAAGCUGUAAGUGUACACUGGGGUAUUUACUUUGUAUGGAGAUAAGAGACCUGAGUUAUAGAAAUACACGUGCUUCUAGAAAAGUAUGAAGGGACUGAAUAGCUGUUCAGGAUCCUUAAGAAAACAACGUUAGAUCACAGAAAAUGAGUUGGAGGAGAGUCCUGAAGGAAAGGGCACUAAAUAUACAGAUCCAUAGAAGAAGUUGCCAUUCUGUUAGAGACUAAGAUUUAAUAAGGUAGACUGGUCUUAUUACUGGUGAUCAUCUGGGAUUCAUUUUACAUCUGAAUAAGCAUCUCUACAAGUGGGCUAAAAGAACCUGUGUUUUAAAAUUUCUUGGGGCGCCUGGGUGGCUCAGUCAGUUAAG